AUUGAACGCUGGCGGCAGGCCUAACACAUGCAAGUCGAGCGAGCGGAGGACGGGGGAGUAAUGUAUGGGGACUGCCCGUUAGAGGGGGAUAACUACUGGAAACGGUGGCUAAUACAGCAUACUGUCGGAUAACCCAUAUGGGAGUAGCUCGUGGGUAGGGUAAUGGCUUACCUAGACGACGAUCCCUAGCUGGUCUGAGAGGAUGAUCAGCCACACUGGGACUGAGACACGGCCCAGACUCCUACGGAGGCAGCAGUGGGGAAUAUUGCACAAUGGGCGCAAGCCUGAUGCAGCCAUGCCGCGUGUAUGAAGAAGGCCCUAGGGUUUUAAAGUACUUUCAUUCGGGAGGCGUUACCGACAGAAGAAGCACCGGCUAACUCCGUGCCAGCCGCCGCGGUAAUAC
Molecule: ribosomal RNA, 403 nt
Filed under: uncultured bacterium
Lineage: Bacteria
Description: partial 16S ribosomal RNA
Rfam family: Bacterial small subunit ribosomal RNA
Source: RNAcentral